RNAcentral lists this ribosomal RNA (482 nucleotides) under uncultured bacterium. RNAcentral describes it as "partial 16S ribosomal RNA". It matches the Rfam family "Bacterial small subunit ribosomal RNA", at positions 30 to 507 of the family's 1533-position model. The record is from RNAcentral.
AUUGAACGCUGGCGGCAUGCUUUACACAUGCAAGUCGAACGGUAACAGGCCGCAAGGUGCAGACGAGUGGCGCACGGGUGAGUAAUGCAUCGGAACGUGCCCAGUCGUGGGGGAUAACUACUCGAAAGAGUAGCUAAUACCGCAUACGAUCUAUGGAUGAAAGCGGGGGACCGUAAGGCCUCGCGCGAUUGGAGCGGCCGAUGUCAGAUUAGGUAGUUGGUGGGGUAAAGGCUCACCAAGCCAACGAUCUGUAGCUGGUCUGAGAGGACGACCAGCCACACUGGGACUGAGACACGGCCCAGACUCCUACGGGAGGCAGCAGUGGGGAAUUUUGGACAAUGGGCGCAAGCCUGAUCCAGCAAUGCCGCGUGCAGGAAGAAGGCCUUCGGGUUGUAAACUGCUUUUGUACGGAACGAAACGGCUCUGGUUAAUACCCGGGGCUAAUGACGGUACCGUAAGAAUAAGCACCGGCUAACUACGUG